GGGGAUGUAGCUCAGUGGUAGAGCGCAUGUUUCGCAUGUUUGAGGUAAUGGGUUCAAUCCCCAGCAUCUCCA
This is a non-coding RNA of Coregonus clupeaformis (lake whitefish), 72 nucleotides long. The record is from the annotation of a RefSeq genome assembly. NCBI's taxonomy places the organism in Eukaryota, Metazoa, Chordata, Actinopteri, Salmoniformes, Salmonidae.